CAAUAGCGUAUAUUAAAGUUGUUGCGGUUAAAAAGCUCGUAGUUGGAUUUCUGCUGAGAACGACCGGUCCGCCCUUUGGGUGUGUAUCUGGCUCUUUCUUGGCAUCUUCUUGGUGAACGUUGCUGCACUUGACUGUGUGGAGCGCUACCCAGGACUUUUACUUUGAGGAAAUUAGAGUGUUUCAAGCAGGCAUACGCCUUGAAUACAUUAGCAUGGAAUAAUAAGAUAGGACCUCGGUUCUAUUUUGUUGGUUUCUAGAGCUGAGGUAAUGAUUAAUAGGGAUAGUUGGGGGCAUUCGUAUUUAACUGUCAGAGGUGAAAUUCUUGGAUUUGUUAAAGACGGACUACUGCGAGAGCAUUUGCCAAGGAUGUUUUCAUUG
This 379-nucleotide ribosomal RNA is filed under the name uncultured eukaryote. RNAcentral describes it as "partial 18S ribosomal RNA". It matches the Rfam family "Eukaryotic small subunit ribosomal RNA", at positions 592 to 975 of the family's 1831-position model. The record is from RNAcentral.